This 793-nucleotide ribosomal RNA is filed under the name Methanosaeta sp. enrichment culture clone A5_32. RNAcentral describes it as "bacterial SSU rRNA". It matches the Rfam family "Archaeal small subunit ribosomal RNA", at positions 85 to 879 of the family's 1478-position model. The record is from RNAcentral. Lineage: Archaea; Methanobacteriati; Methanobacteriota; Methanomicrobia; Methanotrichales; Methanotrichaceae.
ACUGCUCAGUAACACGUGGACAACCUGCCCUUAGGUUGGGUAUAAACCCGGGAAACUGGGUAUAAUACCCGAUAGGUCUCGAUUGCUGGAAUGCAUCGAGAUUUAAAGCUCCGGCGCCUAAGGAUGGGUCUGCGGCCUAUCAGGUAGUAGUGGGUGUAGCGUACCUACUAGCCUACGACGGGUACGGGUUGUGAGAGCAAGAGCCCGGAGAUGGAUUCUGAGACACGAAUCCAGGCCCUACGGGGUGCAGCAGGCGCGAAAACUUUACAAUGCUGGCAACAGCGAUAAGGGAACCUCGAGUGCCAGGUUACAAAUCUGGCUGUCGAGAUGCCUAAAAAGCAUUUCAUAGCAAGGGCCGGGCAAGACCGGUGCCAGCCGCCGCGGUAACACCGGCGGCUCGAGUGGUAACCGUUAUUAUUGGGUCUAAAGGGUCUGUAGCCGGCCGGAUAAGUCUCUUGAGAAAUCUGGCAGCUUAACUGUCAGGCUUUCAGGAGAUACUGUCUGGCUCGAGGCCGGGAGAGGUGAGAGGUACUUCAGGGGUAGGGGUGAAAUCUUGUAAUCCUUGAAGGACCACCAGUGGCGAAGGCGUCUCACCAGAACGGACCUGACGGCAAGGGACGAAAGCUAGGGGCACGAACCGGAUUAGAUACCCGGGUAGUCCUAGCCGUAAACGAUACUCGCUAGGUGUCGGCCACGGUCCGACCGUUGUCGGUGCCGUAGGGAAGCCGUGAAGCGAGCCACCUGGGAAGUACGGCCGCAAGGCUGAAACUUAAAGGAAUUGGCGGGGGAGCAC